Small nucleolar RNA from Gracilinanus agilis (Agile Gracile Mouse Opossum), 87 nucleotides. The record is from RefSeq and is a predicted model, not a curated record. Lineage: Eukaryota; Metazoa; Chordata; Mammalia; Didelphimorphia; Didelphidae.
GAGACUGUGAUGAUAACGCUUACCAAAGCAUGUUCGAGUUUACCGACCAUGAGAUGAAAAGCUCCAUGCACCUCCAUCUGAGAUCUC